UUAGUUAUUAAAGCGCCAGGACUGGAGUAACCCAGUUGACGAGGUGGAGGUUAUCGAUCUUUCGGCGGAUGCCUUCCGGUUGCAUGCACAACUGACCCUCUUUUUACUAAAUCAGUUUGGUGACAAAUUGGACAGAAUAAAAAGAGAUGCAUAUA
Molecule: non-coding RNA, 155 nt
Filed under: Bacillus sp. (in: firmicutes)
Lineage: Bacteria; Bacillati; Bacillota; Bacilli; Caryophanales; Bacillaceae
Also listed under: 1 other name
Description: Bacillus sp. GlcN6P sequence
Rfam family: glmS glucosamine-6-phosphate activated ribozyme aptamer
About the family: This entry contains a glucosamine-6-phosphate activated ribozyme that is found in the mRNA for GlmS.
Source: RNAcentral